GCUGGCAGGGCAUACAUGGAACGUCAUAACCAAGCAUAGUAUGCAGAAACAUCUGUGCCGAAUACGGCCUGGAAGUCCCGAGGUCAAAAUGGGAGACGACCCCAAGGGUGGUGGAGAAUGACCGAGCUAAGAUCCUGUGGGACUUCCAGAUACAGACGGAUAAAACGGUGGUGGCUGACGAACCGGACAUAGUGGUGGUAGACAAACAGGAGAAGACGGCCGUAGUGAUCGAUGUAGCGGUUCCCAAUGACAGCAACAUCAGGAAGAAGGAACACGAGAAACUCCAGAAAUACCAAGGGCUCAGAGACGAGCUCGAGAAGAUGUGGAGGGUGAAGGUAACGGUGGUCCCCGUGGUAAUCGGAGCACUAUAUACAUACAUACAUACAUACAUACAUAUAUAUAUAUAUAUAUAUAUAUAUAUAUAUAUAUAUAUAUAUAUAUAUAUAUAUAUAUAUAUGUAUAUAUAUAUAUAGUUAAAUAUGAAUCGUGAUUGUUAUUGAUAAAAUGAACAAAUCCUUGGACACCACAGUAGCUGCUUUCACCCAGCCUGGCUAGACUAGUCUGUAGGUAAAAUUACACAGUAUUACACCAGGUGUUCACAUACACACAUUGUCAGCAGCAGAACAAGUCAAAUACAAUUACGGUAGUUUCUGGCAGCAGUGUGGAUAAAAAAAAAAAUCCUCCUGUGUCUCAAUGAAGGACAGCUGUGCACACUCGUUCUUCAAUGCAGGCAGCAGAACUCUUUUUUUCUGGGAUCUUCAUUAAAAGUAAUUGUAGUAGGCUUCAUGCAUUUGUGUUGCAUUCAUCUCUUCUCUUCUCUCUGUCUGUCUUUGUCUUUCUUUCUCUUCUUGAUUAUGUGGGUGUUGCCCAACAUGCAAACACAGAUGAAUGUCAUGCAUUAUUCAUUGGUUCAUGCCCGUCUCUCUCUUAUGCACACACACACACACACACACACACACACACACAUACACAAAGUGAGGCACACACAGGCGAGAUAUUCUCAGGGAAUAGCUCAUGAAGGCAGGAGCAUCAAGGUGAGCUCGGGAAAUCAUUGGACUUUACGCCCCAAAACACCAACGACAUUACACAACAACACACGCGUUUCAUCAUCAUCCCUCGCAGCGGUCAUCUCGAGGUGCUUUAGAUUGGCUUCUAUAUUCUGAAGAUCUAAAAGUUUCUGGAGAAGAGGACCCAAGCGUAGGAGGACGAGGAAGUGGACACAAAUGAACUUACGGAAAUACCACAUCAUACACAACUACUGGGAGCCUGGUUCAG
Molecule: long non-coding RNA, 1275 nt
Filed under: Oreochromis niloticus (Nile tilapia)
Lineage: Eukaryota; Metazoa; Chordata; Actinopteri; Cichliformes; Cichlidae
Description: lncRNA (ENSONIG00000022808.2)
Source: RNAcentral